CAAAUGGAGAGUUUGAUCCUGGCUCAGGAUAAACGCUGGCGGUCUGCGUAACACAUGCAAGUCGAACGAAGCUUGAAAAAGCUGAGUGGCGGACGGGUGAGUAACGCGUGAGGAUCUGCCUUUAGGACUGGGACAACGAUUGGAAACGAUCGCUAAUUCCAGAUAUGCAGUGAGUGAAAUGGAGCAAUCCGCCUAAAGAUGAACUCGCGUCCGAUUAGCUAGUUGGUAGUGUAAUGGACUACCAAGGCGAUGAUCGGUAGCUGGUCUGAGAGGACAAUCAGCCACACUGGAACUGAGAUACGGUCCAGACUCCUACGGGAGGCAGCAGUGAGGAAUUUUCCGCAAUGGGCGAAAGCCUGACGGAGCAAGACCGCGUGCGGGAGGAAAGUUUUAGGACUGUAAACCGCUUUUGUCAGGGAAGAAUCAAUGACGGUACCUGACGAAUCAGCCUCGGCUAACUCUGUGCCAGCAGCCGCGGUAAGACAGAGGAGGCAAGCGUUAUCCGGAAUGAUUGGGCGUAAAGGGUGCGUAGGUGGUUUGGGAAGUCUAUGGUGAAAGCCCGAAGCUUAACUUCGGAACCGCCACAGAAACUCUCAAGCUGGAGCACAGUAGGGGCAACGGGAAUUCCCAAAGGAGCGGUGAAAUGCGUAGAUAUUGGGAAGAACACCGAUGGCGAAAGCACGUUGCUGGGCUGUGGCUGACACUGAGGCACGAAAGCUAGGGGAGCAAACAGGAUUAGAUACCCUGGUAGUCCUAGCCGUAAACGAUGAACACUCGACGUUGUGUGGAUCGACCCAUGCAGUGUCCAAGCUAACGCGAUAAGUGUUCCGCCUGGGGAGUACGUCCGCAAGGAUGAAACUCAAAGGAAUUGACGGGGACCCGCACAAGCGGUGGAGGAUGUGGUUUAAUUCGAUGCAACGCGAAGAACCUUACCAGGACUUGACAUGCCGCGAAUCUCUUGGAAACGAGAGAGUGCCUUCGGGAGCGCGGACACAGGUGGUGCAUGGCUGUCGUCAGCUCGUGUCGUGAGAUGUUGGGUUAAGUCCCGCAACGAGCGAAACCCUCGUGCUGAGUUGCCAUCAGGUAAUGCUGGGCACUCUCGGCAGACUGCCGCCGACAAGGUGGAGGAAGGCGAGGAUGACGUCAAGUCAUCAUGCCCCUUACGUCCUGGGCUACACACGUCCUACAAUGCUGCGGACAACGGGCAGCAAGCCGGCAACGGCAAGCAAAUCCCUUAAACCGUGGCUCAGUUCAGAUCGUAGGCUGCAACUCGCCUACGUGAAGACGGAAUCGCUAGUAAUCGCAGGUCAGCACUACUGCGGUGAAUACGUUCCCGGGUCUUGUACACACCGCCCGUCACACCAUGGAAGUUGGUCACGCCCGAAGUCGUUACUCCAACCCCUUGUGGGAGGAGGAUGCCGAAGGUGGGGUUGAUGACUGGGGUGAAGUCGUAACAAGGUAGCCGUACCGGAAGGUGCGGCUGGACAACCUCCUUA
RNAcentral lists this ribosomal RNA (1496 nucleotides) under Plectolyngbya sp. WJT66-NPBG17. RNAcentral describes it as "bacterial SSU rRNA". It matches the Rfam family "Bacterial small subunit ribosomal RNA". The record is from RNAcentral. Lineage: Bacteria; Bacillati; Cyanobacteriota; Cyanophyceae; Leptolyngbyales; Leptolyngbyaceae.